CUACGAAGGGGGCUAGCGUUGUUCGGAAUUACUGGGCGUAAAGCGCACGUAGGCGGACUGGAAAGUUGGGGGUGAAAUCCCGGGGCUCAACCCCGGAACUGCCUCCAAAACUUCCAAUCUAGAGAUCGAGAGAGGUGAGUGGAAUUCCAAGUGUAGAGGUGAAAUUCGUAGAUAUUUGGAGGAACACCAGUGGCGAAGGCGGCUCACUGGCUCGAUACUGACGCUGAGGUGCGAAAGCGUGGGGAGCAAACAGGAUUAGAAACCCCAGUAGUCC
RNAcentral lists this ribosomal RNA (274 nucleotides) under uncultured bacterium. RNAcentral describes it as "partial 16S ribosomal RNA". It matches the Rfam family "Bacterial small subunit ribosomal RNA", at positions 523 to 796 of the family's 1533-position model. The record is from RNAcentral.